CUUUCUAGCAAGUCAACAAGAUUUUCUAUGCGCUUACCAUUCAGUCGAUUGCUCUUCUAGGCAUUUAUUUCUUCUUGUCUCAGAAGAUUUCUCUCUAGAGGACAGUCGUGAUGAUGGAAGAACCAAUCAUAGAGGCAAUUCUACUUUCGUUGCUGCCACACAAAGGAGAGGAUGGAUGGUGGUCGCCGGGGUUUGGUGGGCUCUGGUUGGUGUGGAUCUGCAGAAGGAGCUCGCCGAGUAGCAGGUUGGGCCGACCGCCGGGUUCAAGUACAAGAUCUCCGAUGACCUCCAAGGUCCAGCGAAUCCCAAGAUCUAUUCCAUUCUCACUUUUACUUCCUGUGGAUGGAUGAGGAUGGAUGAACUGGGAUUUCUCUUUGUUGUACAGCCUUCUAUUCUUGAUUUCGGAGAACAAAUUCCAGUUUCCUUUUCCUAGAUAUAUUCUUUGUGAUGCUCUCCCUUUUUCUGUUGUGUUGCUUCGUUGCUUCCGUUGCUUCUUAGAUUGUGUUUCCUUGUCUCACUUCUUGAUGGAAAACUGAAUCUCAGAUCGGCUGCAGCUUGGCCAGCUGAUUCUCCUGUUGCAUGCUUCUUCAGUUCUUCUCAUGGUGCUUCUUAUGCGCAUCCUGCUAGCCUUGAUGGGGUCAUCUCUCGACGGUUGGAGAUCCGUUUUGGUAAGAGGCCUGCUGCUUCUUCACCUGGUAUGUGUUGCUUCUUGUGUACUCUCUUCUUUUGGUUGCAUCCUAGGAGCUCCUUGGUGCACUUUCCUGCCAUGGCUUUACCAGUUGUUGUCUCAUCUACAUCUGAUGCGUCUUCAACGAUGUGCAGAUAGUGCACCAAUCAGGGUUUUUGUUGCUUUCUGUUGUUGUUCCCCUGCAGUCGUUGCGCCUUUUAAAUGAUGUGUCGUCGGACGUGGGCUCGCUGUUGCCUUCUCCUAUGGCAGUGUUUGUUGUGCAGCAGGAACCGUGUCACCAUAUAGAUUUUUCGUGGGAAGCGUCCAUAGGUGGAUACUGAAGGUGCUUUUCCGUGCUUUUAUUUGCCGCGCAUAAGUAUUUGUAUGCGUUUGCAUACUGCUUAUACUAGGCUCUUUGUUGUUGGGUCUUUCUUCCAUGCUUUCUGCUCUGCGGGUUGAGUUCCGUUCCAAUUAAGUCAGGCAGUUUCUUCUAUGUUCGAUUUCUUCUUCCUCUUUGGGUCCCUGCACCCGCUGCCUGCGGGUUAGCAAUUACUCUCUCCUUUGAGUGGCUUUUGUUCUUCCUUUCAAAUGCUUUACCACAAUUUACUGUGUUAGCUGCAUGGAAUAAAAAUAAAUUUGUAAAUAGUAAUUAAUGAACCUACCAGGCAGGUUUGACAAUGUUUACUCGUGAAAUUUUAGCGUUUCCUUGCUUCGCCUGCAGUAGGCUCUCUUCCUCGUGUGUUUCUUAUGCAGCUCCUUUAGGUUUGUUUCUAGCUUGUUUUAUAUAUCUGUUUUCAGGUGAUGUUUUGUAUUCCUGUUUGUUGCUGCUAUUCUUUUAUUGUCCUUGAAUAAUCUUUUCUUUUGUGUGGCAUGCUUAUACCAUUUUGUGCUUCGGCUGUUGUUCACCUUCCUACUAAGAAAGAACUUUUUUGGCCUACUUCAAAAUUUUAUGCUUUUGCUACGUGAUUUCCGAUUCAUUAACUUCCUUUCCAUAAGUGCAGAUUGUUAUAGGCGCAUGCAGUUUCCUAUAUCAACAGAGUUUAUUGACCUCCUUAAAGAUUUGUUCUUAUUCUAUUCAUCAUACAUAUGUUCUUUCCUUCUUGUUCAAUUGAUAGUGCAUGACGUUUGUUGUUCUUAAUUUUUCCAACAUAUAUGUUUGUUUUCUUUUUAUUUAGUUGAUGUUAGUUGAUGCUUCGUGCUGACUUGAAGUUUGCUGUGGCUUUUUUCAUGUUUGUUUUGCUCAUAAUUUGAGACUGGUUUUAAUCAGAUAGUUGUUUGCAUGUGAGGAAUGAUAGUAUACAUUUUGCGAACCAUAUGUCUCAAGAUUAGUUGUUCACAUACCCAACAGGAACAGAACAAUAUAUCAUGAAGACACCCACUUGCAGGAAUUGGUCGACAGUCCUUCAAGAUUUAAUACUAUGCAUACCAAUUGGUUUAGUGUGAAUCAGAUCCAUGCUGAUGCAUCAGCAUUUAAUAUAAGUUCAAUAGAGAGUGGCCGAUAUGUGGGCUAUCUGUUGCUAGUGGGCUGAAUAAUGCCAGAUCCUAAGAGAAAAAUGGAGAGAAGGAUGGCCACAACCCAGUACGGCCCACCUAACCCGCUGCUAGUGUUCAGGAGUAGCUUCAUUGUUGCCCCCAGAUUAUUUGCUCAUCAGAAGAUCCAGCUUAAGCUUGGUGUGCCUAUUAUGUUAUUGAGGACUAUUUAUCAGUCAAUGGGUCUAUGCAAUUGGACACAUUUGAUUGUAACACAACUAGGUGAUUGGGUUCCUGAGGCAGAGAUUCGUACUGGCAGUCACAUUCGUCAACAUACUUGCAUUCCAUAGAUUGUGCUAAAUAUAUGCUCUUGCUUCAAGGUAGACUUUUACUUCGCAAUGUUGGCAGUAUCAAAUACGUCUUAAAUUUUUAUGCAAUGACAAUCGAUAA
Lolium perenne is the source of this 2587-nucleotide long non-coding RNA. RefSeq lists it as uncharacterized. The record is from RefSeq and is a predicted model, not a curated record. NCBI's taxonomy places the organism in Eukaryota, Viridiplantae, Streptophyta, Magnoliopsida, Poales, Poaceae.